GACGAACGCUGGCGGCGUGCCUAAUACAUGCAAGUCGAACGCAGUGGGGACGGGUGAGUAACACGUGGGUAACCUCCCAUCAGAGGAGAUAACACUUGGAAACAGGUGCUAAACCGAUACUGAUGGAUGGACCCGCGGUGCAUUAGCUAGUUGGUGAGGGAACGGCUCACCAAGGCCACGAGGCAUAGCCGACCUGAGAGUGUAAUCGGCCACAGUGGGACUGCGACCCGGCCCAGACUCCUACGGGAGGCAGCAGUAGGGAAUCUUCGGCAAUGGACGAAAGUCUGACCGAGCAACUCCGCGUGAGUGAAGAAGGUUGUCGGAUCGUAAAACUCUGUUGUUAGAUAAGCGGUAUCUAACCAGAAAGCCACGGCUAACUACGUGCCAGCAGCCGCGGUAAUUC
RNAcentral lists this ribosomal RNA (403 nucleotides) under uncultured bacterium. Its description in RNAcentral is "partial 16S ribosomal RNA". It matches the Rfam family "Bacterial small subunit ribosomal RNA", at positions 28 to 526 of the family's 1533-position model. The record is from RNAcentral.